CCCUUAGAUGUUCUGGGCGGCCCGCGCACUACAUUGGCACUAGCAAAGAGAUCCUAGAUUGAAUUCUUUGGGGUAUUCUUCUAAAUGGUGUCGUGACUGGGAUAAAUCCUUGUAAUUAUUGGUUUUGAACGAGGAAUUCCUUGUAAUCGCGGUUUACCAGCUCGCGUUGAAUGCGUCCCUGCCCUUUGUACACACCGCCCGUCGCUCCUACCGAUGGAUCGUCCGGUGAAGCUCACGGAGUGACUGUUCACGCAACGGUUUACGAAGUGAAAUGGACCUCACGAUUUAGAGGAAGGAGAAGUCGUAACA
Molecule: ribosomal RNA, 309 nt
Filed under: uncultured eukaryote
Lineage: Eukaryota
Description: partial 18S ribosomal RNA
Rfam family: Eukaryotic small subunit ribosomal RNA
Source: RNAcentral